RNAcentral lists this long non-coding RNA (1111 nucleotides) under Sinocyclocheilus anshuiensis. RNAcentral's name for it is "lncRNA (ENSSANG00000038588.1)". Lineage: Eukaryota; Metazoa; Chordata; Actinopteri; Cypriniformes; Cyprinidae. The record is from RNAcentral.
CAAAACGAGAUGUUGUCGGGCUGCGUUCGAAACCAUAGACAUAUAAAAUACCUAGACUCCUCAUUGGCCGCUGGAUCGUACGUCAACGCCAUCUUGGUGCGGGCAUCUUUUCCAUUGUUCUCAUAAGUGGACUCAAGAAAAUGCCUCAGUCGUGUGCUGCUUGGGGCUGUACAAACCACCGCACAGUUGAAAAUAGGUCUCGGGGAAUUACUUUUCACAAGUAAGACUGAAAAGUUGUUGACUGACACUGAUCUGGUUGUAUUUGGUCAUUAAAACAUUAUGUUGACACAACUUGACAGUAAUUGACCGUUGGAGUCAGACUAUUAAUAGCUAGCGAUAUCGCUAUUUAGCUGUGAGUCGAGGAAACCAGAAAUGUUACAUUCUUUCUUAUAUAGUUUUAGUGUAUGGUAAAUGAUAUAUCAUAAACUAAAUUGCCCGUAAUCGAGAUAUUCAUUUAUAUUGCCGUUUUUUUCUCAAAACUGACUCUUUUGCCGACCUACUCGUUUCGGCUAAGCGGCAUGAAUCUAAUUUAACGUUAACCGUUAGUAGUUGGCUAGCUGACGUUAGCUAACUCUUCUCACACAUUGAAGGUUUCCCAAAAACAAAGAGUUGAGGAGGCAGUGGGAAGUAGCUCUAAGAAGAGAAGGGUUUUCCGCAAGCGAGUCCUCCGUGCUAUGCAAUGAACACUUCAAGCCGGAGGACUUUGACAUGACAGGUCAAAUUGUGAGGAUUAGGGAUGGAGCUAAACCAUCGAUCUUCAGCUUUCCCCCUCAUCUACAAAGACCUGUGGCAACCAGGAAAACAGAGGCCUCAAGGAAAGCUGAGGAGAGCUGGUCAGUGGACUGUUCUCAGAUUUUCCAAGAGAUCGAACCUCCUCUGCCUAAUGUUGUUUAAAGCAUCCUUGCUAAAUAAAAGUAGUAAUUUCUAUCAUUUCUUUCCCAAAGAAAAAAAUUAUACUGACUCCAAGCUUUUGAAUGGUAUAGUGUAUAAUGUUACAAAAGCUUUUUAUUUCAGAUAAAUGCUGAUCUUUAGAUCUUUCUAUUCAUCAAAGAAUCCUGAAAAAAAUGUACUCAACUGUUUUAAAUAUUGAUAAUAAUAUUAUCAGAAUGUU